Molecule: ribosomal RNA, 223 nt
Filed under: uncultured bacterium
Lineage: Bacteria
Description: partial 16S ribosomal RNA
Rfam family: Bacterial small subunit ribosomal RNA
Source: RNAcentral
ACGCUCGACACCUACGGGGGGCAGCAGUAGGGAAUCUUCCACAAUGGACGCAAGUCUGAUGGAGCAACGCCGCGUGAGUGAAGAAGGUUUUCGGAUCGUAAAGCUCUGUUGUUGGUGAAGAAGGAUAGAGGUAGUAACUGGCCUUUAUUUGACGGUAAUCAACCAGAAAGUCACGGCUAACUACGUGCCAGCAGCCGCGGUAAUCUGAGCGGGCUGGCAAGGC